UCCUCCUGGCAAUGGGCAAAGAGACACCUUGCUGGUGGUGCUCUUCUCUCAGUCAGGGGCAGAGCAGAUGGCGGUCCUUUGUUCAUCCUAGCUUGAUGCCUGGCUUGGUGGCCAAAGCUGUCUUAUGUCUAGGACUCAUAA
Molecule: small nucleolar RNA, 141 nt
Organism: Rattus norvegicus (Norway rat)
Lineage: Eukaryota; Metazoa; Chordata; Mammalia; Rodentia; Muridae
Product: small nucleolar RNA SNORA48
Source: Ensembl